Molecule: ribosomal RNA, 253 nt
Filed under: uncultured bacterium
Lineage: Bacteria
Description: partial 16S ribosomal RNA
Rfam family: Bacterial small subunit ribosomal RNA
Source: RNAcentral
UACGUAGGGUGCAAGCGUUGUCCGGAAUUAUUGGGCGUAAAGAGCUCGUAGGCGGUCUGUCGCGUCUGCUGUGAAAACUCGGGGCUUAACCCCGGGCCUGCAGUGGGUACGGGCAGACUAGAGUGCGGUAGGGGAGACUGGAAUUCCUGGUGUAGCGGUGAAAUGCGCAGAUAUCAGGAGGAACACCGGUGGCGAAGGCGGGUCUCUGGGCCGUAACUGACGCUGAGGCGCGAAAGCUAGGGGAGCAAACGGG